RNAcentral lists this non-coding RNA (120 nucleotides) under Clostridium oryzae. RNAcentral's name for it is "SAM-I sequence". It matches the Rfam family "SAM riboswitch aptamer (S box leader)". From Rfam's summary of the family: The SAM riboswitch is found upstream of a number of genes which code for proteins involved in methionine or cysteine biosynthesis in Gram-positive bacteria. The SAM riboswitch acts at the level of transcription termination control. Lineage: Bacteria; Bacillati; Bacillota; Clostridia; Eubacteriales; Clostridiaceae. The record is from Rfam by way of RNAcentral.
UUCUCAUCAAGAGAGGUUGAGGGACUGGCCCAAUGAAACCUCGGCAACCUUCAGGUUCAUCUAUCUGAAAAGGUGCCAACUCCUGCGAACGGAUUGCAUGUGUCCGACGAGAGAUGAGAG